This 497-nucleotide ribosomal RNA is filed under the name uncultured bacterium. RNAcentral's name for it is "partial 16S ribosomal RNA". It matches the Rfam family "Bacterial small subunit ribosomal RNA", at positions 28 to 507 of the family's 1533-position model. The record is from RNAcentral.
GAUGAACGCUGGCGGCGUGCCUAAUACAUGCAAGUCGAGCGAACGGACGAGAAGCUUGCUUUUCUGAUGUUAGCGGCGGACGGGUGAGUAACACGUGGAUAGCCUACCUAUAAGACUGGGAUAACUUCGGGAAACCGGAGCUAAUACCGGAUAAUAUUUUGAACCGCAUGGUUCAAAAGUGAAAGACGGUCUUGCUGUCACUUAUAGAUGGAUCCGCGCUGCAUUAGCUAGUUGGUAAGGUCACGGCUUACCAAGGCAACGAUGCAUAGCCGACCUGAGAGGGUGAUCGGCCACACUGGAACUGAGACACGGUCCAGACUCCUACGGGAGGCAGCAGUAGGGAAUCUUCCGCAAUGGGCGAAAGCCUGACGGAGCAACGCCGCGUGAGUGAUGAAGGUCUUCGGAUCGUAAAACUCUGUUAUUAGGGAAGAACAUAUGUGUAAGUAACUGUGCACAUCUUGACGGUACCUAAUCAGAAAGCCACGGCUAACUACGUG